GAUGAACGCUGGCGGCGUGCCUAACACAUGCAAGUCGAACGGAGAUAGAUAGCGGAAGUUUUCGGAUGGAAGGUAUGUAUCUUAGUGGCGGACGGGUGAGUAACGCGUGGGUAACCUGCCGUAUACAGGGGGAUAACACCUGGAAACAGGUGCUAAUACCGCAUAAGCGCACGGUAUCGCAUGAUACAGUGUGAAAAGCCGAGACGGUAUACGAUGGACCCGCGUCUGAUUAGCCAGUUGGCAGGGUAACGGCCUACCAAAGCGACGAUCAGUAGCCGGCCUGAGAGGGUGGACGGCCACAUUGGGACUGAGACACGGCCCAA
Molecule: ribosomal RNA, 323 nt
Filed under: uncultured bacterium
Lineage: Bacteria
Description: bacterial SSU rRNA
Rfam family: Bacterial small subunit ribosomal RNA
Source: RNAcentral